GGGCCCGCACAAGCGGUGGAGUAUGUGGUUUAAUUCGAUGCAACGCGAAGAACCUUACCAGGGUUUGACAUCCUGCGAAUCUCUUGGAAACGGGAGAGUGCCUUCGGGAACGCAGUGACAGGUGGUGCAUGGCUGUCGUCAGCUCGUGUCGUGAGAUGUUGGGUUAAGUCCCGCAACGAGCGCAACCCACGUCUUUAGUUGCCAGCAUUUAGUUGGGGCACUCUAGAGAGACUGCCGGUGAUAAACCGGAGGAAGGUGUGGAUGACGUCAAGUCAUCAUGCCCCUUAUAUCCUCGGGCUACACACGUACUACAAUGCUACGGACAAAGGGCAGCAAGUUCGCGAGGACAAG
Molecule: ribosomal RNA, 351 nt
Filed under: uncultured bacterium
Lineage: Bacteria
Description: bacterial SSU rRNA
Rfam family: Bacterial small subunit ribosomal RNA
Source: RNAcentral